Scatophagus argus is the source of this 634-nucleotide long non-coding RNA. RefSeq lists it as uncharacterized. The transcript has 3 exons. NCBI's taxonomy places the organism in Eukaryota, Metazoa, Chordata, Actinopteri, Scatophagidae. The record is from RefSeq and is a predicted model, not a curated record.
GGGUGUGUCCCUGGAGAGUCUGGCUGCUGACCACCAUGGGUCUGACAGUGGCAGUGUUGGCUUGCCGUAUUGGCCUUUCAUCCACACUGCUGGCAGACAGGCUCUCUGCCUCUCUGAAGAAGCGGUCGUAGCGGUCGAGCUCGUCCCGGUAGCUGUGUGGGCCGAGCACCAUUGAGGUCUACACCGAGGACAUCAGGAGGAUCCAUGGGAUUCCCGAGGUCCCUGUGGAUGAACCUCCUCUGCUCCAGGUAGGCCAUGCCACAGGCCACCUGCACUGCAUACUGACACAGAGUGUGGAUCAGCACGGGGCCCUGUGGACGGACACAUCGCAGACGCUCCAGCAAAGAACCCAGAGGAGCUAGCUCAGUCACCUUCGCAACAAGAAGAGAGAGAGAGAGAGAGGGAGGGAAAAAGAGUGAACAGUGGUACAUGGGAGUAACAAGUCAGAAGGAAAGAGGAGUAUAUGAUUUAGAUGAGAAAGGGAGGUGUCAUUUCAAUAUGCAAAAAAGAAAAGGUGUGAGAAUAUGAGGAGGAAAUACGUAGAAGAAAAAACGAGAAUGGAAAGAAAAACACCGCAAGAAGUAGUGGGAUGAAAUAACAAGGCUAAAAUGUCAGCCUUUAUUUUAGACCUCCU